This 185-nucleotide ribosomal RNA is filed under the name uncultured bacterium. Its description in RNAcentral is "partial 16S ribosomal RNA". It matches the Rfam family "Bacterial small subunit ribosomal RNA", at positions 183 to 352 of the family's 1533-position model. The record is from RNAcentral.
GGGGCGUAAGCCUUUAGAGUCAAAGCUUUCCGAGCAAUCGGACGGCGCUUGAGGACGAGCUCGCGGCCUAUUAGCUAGUUGGUGGGGUAAUGGCCUGUCCAAGGUUAUGAUGGGAUACCCGGCUUGAGACGGGUGUUCGACCACACUGGGACUGAGGCACGGCCCAGACUCCUGCGGGAGGCAGC